UUCAUGCUUUUGAGCACUUUUUCAUAGAACUUUUUUUGCUCUUUCACUCUCUCACCUUAAAACCCUCCAAAGUCUUUCCUCAACACUUUCUUUCACUAGUUGGACAUUUUAGAGAAAGAAAGAAAGAGAGAGAGAGAAAGAAAGAGACUUUCCCUGAUAGCUUGAGUAUUCUUGAGAAGGAAUUCAACUACAAAUCCACCAAGGUUGGUUGUGAUGUUGGUGCGUGAUAGGUUCCAACAAGACCUCACAUUUUCAUUUGGAGCAAUAGUCGAAGUUGGAGUCGAGUUAAGAUUCAACAAAUACCGAUUCGGAGGUAGUUGGGACCUAGAUUGAGUUUUUCACAUGUGCUCGCCCUCUUGGUAGGUACUAUGGCAUCUUAGUGGCUGUACCUUCACCAACGGUCACUCUGCUAACGGUCAAGAGUUUGUUACCUGUGAACAUGUAUAUGUAAUGUAAUCCGCUAGGAUCCAUGAUAUAAGUCAAAUAUGUAUAUUUGACUACUGAUUCCACUAUGAGUUAGCAAACAGGUGUCAUUAUUUUGACAUAAUAAA
Theobroma cacao (cacao) is the source of this 551-nucleotide non-coding RNA. Lineage: Eukaryota; Viridiplantae; Streptophyta; Magnoliopsida; Malvales; Malvaceae. The record is from RefSeq and is a predicted model, not a curated record.